Microtus ochrogaster (prairie vole) is the source of this 900-nucleotide long non-coding RNA. RefSeq lists it as uncharacterized. NCBI's taxonomy places the organism in Eukaryota, Metazoa, Chordata, Mammalia, Rodentia, Cricetidae. The record is from RefSeq and is a predicted model, not a curated record. The transcript is spliced from 2 exons.
GGUAAAAAAGCUGCAGAAUCACUUCGCUGUCUCCCAGACGAGCUCCGCUUUGGAGAACUGAGGAGGCUGAAGGAAGCUUCACACAUUCUCCACUCAAGCAGCAACACCUACUGAGAAACAGACCCCUCCUUGUAGCUGUGAACAAACGAGUAAGAAAAAUUUCUACCUACUGCAGGGGAUCCAUCUCCAAUCUGAUUCAAGUUCUGUUGGCCCACUAUUCCUGGAGAAAGGAAAUCAUCAGAAAGAAGCCUGACAUUCAGAGGACCCACCAAGAAUUACUCCAAAUCCCAACAUGGGUCAGCAGGUGGAUCCUGAGUGGCGCACAGCAGCAUGAGGAUAUGCGCCCUUUAUAUGUGGUGAGGACUCUCACGAGAAAGACUGUACUGAUGCCAUGCUGUAGUCUAUACACACCACAGGGAAAAGAACAGGAUUCCCUCUCCUGUGAGUGCUGAGGGAAACUCCAUGUCACAGGAAGGUGUUGGUGAAGAUAACGCAGGACAGAGACUACAGCAUCCCUCACCUGUGUUAGUCAUUGAUCAUCCAUAAAGAAAAUGUCAGGGGAUUCUCCAGUUUCACAUCCUGGACUGGAAUGACCAGUCAUGAAAAAGGGUCUAUGGAGGAGGUCUAGUCACCUUUAGUGUUCUUAGAAAGCCAGAUGUUCUCAAUUGAUUUGUUGGAUCUAGAGCGAGAGAAUAUUUUUAGCUUAAUUUGGGGGAGAGGUUCUGGUUUUGGUUUGGGUUUCGUUUGCCUGGGUAUUUUUUUUUCUUUACUUUGGUUUAAAUUUUGUUAGUUUUUGAUAAUUUCUUUUUUCUUGUUUUAAUAGUUGGUUAAGGCUCAACACUAUAUAUACUGACUACCCAUCUUAAAGCCCCUAUUGAAUAAAAUGAUUAUAUUUAUGAA